This 495-nucleotide ribosomal RNA is filed under the name uncultured bacterium. Its description in RNAcentral is "partial 16S ribosomal RNA". It matches the Rfam family "Bacterial small subunit ribosomal RNA", at positions 28 to 507 of the family's 1533-position model. The record is from RNAcentral.
GAUGAACGCUGGCGGCGUGCCUAAUACAUGCAAGUAGAACGCUGAAGGAGGAGCUUGCUCUUCUGGAUGAGUUGCGAACGGGUGAGUAACGCGUAGGUAACCUGCCUGGUAGCGGGGGAUAACUAUUGGAAACGAUAGCUAAUACCGCAUGACAACAGUUAUUGCAUGAUAACUGUUUAAAAGGGGCAACUGCUCCACUACCAGAUGGUCCUGCGUUGUAUUAGCUAGUUGGUGAGGUAACGGCUCACCAAGGCGACGAUACAUAGCCGACCUGAGAGGGUGAUCGGCCACACUGGGACUGAGACACGGCCCAGACUCCUACGGGAGGCAGCAGUAGGGAAUCUUCGGCAAUGGACGGAAGUCUGACCGAGCAACGCCGCGUGAGUGAAGAAGGUUUUCGGAUCGUAAAGCUCUGUUGUAAGAGAAGAACGAGUGCGAGAGUGGAAAGUUCACACUGUGACGGUAUCUUACCAGAAAGGGACGGCUAACUACGUG